AACACUGUUAACCUGCGGUACCUGCGGAAGGAUCAUUACAGAGUUGCAAAACUCCCUAAACCAUUGUGAACGUUACCUAAACCGUUGCUUCGGCGGGCGGCCCGGGUCCUUCCCGGCGCCCCUCGGCCCUCGCGGGCGCCCGCCGGAGGUAAACCAAACUAUCGCAUUGUAUGGCCUCUCUGAGUCUUCUGUACUGAAUAAGUCAAAACUUUCAACAAUGGAUCUCAGAUCGGAAGAGCA
RNAcentral lists this unclassified non-coding RNA (240 nucleotides) under soil metagenome. Its description in RNAcentral is "partial contains 5.8S ribosomal RNA, internal transcribed spacer 2, and large subunit ribosomal RNA". The record is from RNAcentral.